This 557-nucleotide ribosomal RNA is filed under the name uncultured bacterium. RNAcentral describes it as "bacterial SSU rRNA". It matches the Rfam family "Bacterial small subunit ribosomal RNA", at positions 102 to 694 of the family's 1533-position model. The record is from RNAcentral.
ACGGGUGAGUAACGCGUGGGAAUCUACCGUACCCUACGGAAUAGCUCUGGGAAACUGGAAGUAAUACCGUAUACGCCCUAACGGGGAAAGAUUUAUCGGGGUAUGAUGAGCCCGCGUUGGAUUAGCUAGUUGGUGGGGUAAAGGCCUACCAAGGCGACGAUCCAUAGCUGGUCUGAGAGGAUGAUCAGCCACAUUGGGACUGAGACACGGCCCAAACUCCUACGGGAGGCAGCAGUGGGGAAUAUUGGACAAUGGGCGCAAGCCUGAUCCAGCCAUGCCGCGUGAGUGAUGAAGGUCUUAGGAUUGUAAAGCUCUUUCAACGGUGAAGAUAAUGACGGUAACCGUAGAAGAAGCCCCGGCUAACUUCGUGCCAGCAGCCGCGGUAAUACGAAGGGGGCUAGCGUUGUUCGGAAUUACUGGGCGUAAAGCGCACGUAGGCGGGUAUUUAAGUCAGGGGUGAAAUCCCGCAGCUCAACUGCGGAACUGCCUUUGAUACUGGGUAUCUUGAGUAUGGAAGAGGUAAGUGGAAUUGCGAGUGUAGAGGUGAAAUUCGUAGA